This 2834-nucleotide long non-coding RNA is filed under the name Gallus gallus (chicken). RNAcentral describes it as "lncRNA (ENSGALG00010014282.1)". Lineage: Eukaryota; Metazoa; Chordata; Aves; Galliformes; Phasianidae. The record is from RNAcentral.
UUUUUUUUUUUUUUUUUUUUUUUUUUUUUGCAAGUAGUCUAAGGAGACAUUUGAGAAAAUAUGUAAUGUGCAUAAAGGCUUACGAGUCAAUUUACAUUCCCUUCUCUGAUGGAAUCAACAAUUUAAAUUAUCCGUAAAAUAUGAAAAGGGAGUAUUUAUCAACCAAACUUACCAUUCUCUGCAUACAUAAUACACCAUAAGUGUAUAAUAUAAUCUACUAACAGAUUCCAGAAAUGUAUUUUCUAAAAGUCUUCAACUGAGAAAGAAAAAUAGACCUCAUUAUGUUCUGCAGAUCUUUGGCACUUAAGAGUGGAAGAACAAUCUGUUCAUAACAUCAGAAAAAUCCAUAUUGUCCCCAAAAUAUCAGCAAACCACAAAGCAGAAGUAACAGCUACGCUGACAGAUAAUAUACAGGAAAUCUGGGAUAUGUCAGGCUGCAAGAUUAGUUCAAAGCAUUUCUAUCAGAGCAUAGAAUGAAUAGUUUUGUUAAAUCGCAGCAGACCUACAUAAAUUUUAUUCAUCAGCUAAUCAAAAUGCUACAAUUUCUGUUUCAGCAUUUUGCUUUAGUAGUACAUAAACAUAUAUAAUUCUCCUCAUAUAUAUAUGUAAGGAUAGAUAUAUAUAUCAGAAUACAUACAACAGUACAAUUAGUGUUUUUCAUUUAUUCAUUAAUGAGUGAAGCAAUAUCUUAGAUACUGGAUCUCAAAGUAUUUAAUUCUAUGCUAAUCACUAUUCACUUCUGGAUUAGAAACAACACCCACUAUUUCUGUAAAAAUAUAGUAGAAACUCUUGAAAUACUGCAGUUCUAUUCCCUCUCUAUGCUGUAAAGAAGAAGAACUAAGAAGUUAUAUAUAUAUAUACAUCCUAAACUAAAUAUAUUUAUUAUUAAAAUAAAUAAACUAAAAUAAGUGAACAGGUUUUAUUGAUUCUUAAGGACUUGAGGACAGAUUAGAAGAAAUUUACACUUGUAAAGAUUCUAAACAGGAGCUGAAAAUCAAGUCUUCUUAUUUUCCACUGUCAUGCUGGAUGUCUUGUGGCAUAGUACUUAGUCCAUCUUUAGACCAUUUGAGAAUGAAGUUUUCUCAGGCUUAAAUUUUGGCCAGAAACACAUAGGACAAAAUAGAGGAUGUCAUCAAAAACAAGGCUGACAGAUAUUUCAAAGGGAUGUGAUGACAAGAACAUGACUGCCAUCCAAAUAUUUCUCCAAACCAAAGUCCUCAGGAGUGGUGGAAGCCCUCAGAUGUGUGUGUGUGUGUAUUGUGGAGGCGGGAGGGAAGGGUACACACAUGUGUUUGUAUGUGUAUUUAACACACAAUAAAGGGAUAUUAAAAUUAAGCGGGGAAUAUUCAGAAUAGGACAUUUCAUAUUAUUUUUUAUGUCAGAGAACACUGAUUAGGCAAGUAAUGUGACAGAUUGAUGAGAUCUGAGCAGACCUUCCUUGAUCUGUCUUCAAGUUCUACAUCACAUUAAACUAAGGUUGAAAUUUUGUCCUGAGAUGAAUGGUUUGGUACACUGUCUAGCAAGAUGAUCUUGGUGUAUUGGAAUUCUUGUAUAACUAGCUAAAUCUAGACACAUAAACACUGUAAAACUGUGCUGUGCAUAGGAGUCAGGACUGCCAACAAUAUUGCUCUUCCAGUUCAGUAGAGGGAUAGUAAUGACAGGCCACUGCACUCUUAAGUAGCAACACACAAAGCAGGAACAAUUGUUCAAGGAAAUUAGGCUGUCAUAUAUGUAUUUGGGUGAAUCAGAAUUUUUUUCUUCCACUGUAAUUUUUUCUUCUUCAUAGUGUGCAUAUUUUGUGUACUGCUCCUCUCAGUAUUUUCUUCGCACUUGUCUGUUUCCUCUUCCAAAAACUGACAGUUGCCUUCGCUGAUCAUCAGCUCUGCUUACUCCUUCUCCUCCUACAGCAAUACCACAAUAUUUUCAAUUGUCUACUCUUAGCAAAGGGGUGAAAACAAAGCAAAAUAAAAAAACAUCCUAGUGCUUUCAGAGCUGCAUUUAAUUUCUACUUUCCUGUCUGGUCUGCUUGAGGCUUGUUAAUAUUAUAAACAGAGGCAGCAGGUAAUUUGAAAUAAGAGAUGAAUUGCACUUUGUCAAGCUGCAUGAGACAUAAGGAUAUCUAUUUAAUGUGCCUGUGGGAAAAUUAUGAACCAUUGAUUUAAAUUCUUCAGCUAAUGGUCAUACAGCUAGGUUUGUAAAAGCAGUAAGUAUAUACACUCAUGAAUCACUCUAAAAAACACUGAAACUACUCAGUUCUGUAUCAAAGUUCCUUGGUAUUUCCAAAACUGCAAUUUUUGUGUAAACUGAGAAUUCCAAAACUAGUGUCAGAAAAUGCAUCGAGUACUUCCUGUGUAAUAUAUUUCAUCCUUCAGUAAUAAAAUUGUCCUGGUUUCAGUUGAGACAGUGCAACAAGUACACUUAUGUUUUGGUUAUUGAUGAACAAACAAAGGGCUGUAUCAGGCCAUCCAGCAGAGAAGAGUCACUGCCUGUAUGACAUGGCAGCAGGGGAUGGGGCAGAGAAAGGACAGUGGCCUGAAUUAGACAGGGGGUUAUUUUAUACCACGUGACAUUAUAGGGAAGGCCAUAAAUCUGUGGGCAGUUGACUGAGGUCUGGCUACUGCUUGGGGAUUGACUGGGUGUCAGCCAGUGAGUGGUGAGAUGUUGCAGUGCUAGGAGGGCUUUGGCCAACAAGCAGUUGUAUUGUUAGUUGGUUGGGUGGUAACUAAUUGCAUUUUAAACACAUUUAUAUAUAUAUACAUAUUUAGUCAUAAUUGAAUUUUUGUUUGUGUGUUCCCUGUCUGUCUUAGUAAAUAACUUUUUUCUCAACCCAUGAA